Molecule: non-coding RNA, 105 nt
Filed under: Bacillus andreraoultii
Lineage: Bacteria; Bacillati; Bacillota; Bacilli; Caryophanales; Bacillaceae
Description: SAM riboswitch (S box leader)
Rfam family: SAM riboswitch aptamer (S box leader)
About the family: The SAM riboswitch is found upstream of a number of genes which code for proteins involved in methionine or cysteine biosynthesis in Gram-positive bacteria.
Source: RNAcentral
UCUUAUCAAGAGUGGUGGAGGGAUGUGCCCGAUGAAGCCCGGCAACCGUCAAGUAAUUGAAAAGGUGCCAAUUCACACAAAGUUUUUUAACUUUGAAAGAUGAGA